Non-coding RNA from Cinara cedri, 325 nucleotides. The record is from the annotation of a GenBank genome assembly. NCBI's taxonomy places the organism in Eukaryota, Metazoa, Arthropoda, Insecta, Hemiptera, Aphididae.
AAUAUCUUCUGCGGUUAUAGAAAAACGGUCAAAAUUAUAAAAUUUAACCAUGAUUGGUAUAUCUACCCGUUUACCUACCUGCGUAUUGCACAUUAAAUUAUUGUUACUAAUACGCAUCAACUAAAGAAUGGAGGUCAUGUUUUAUGCCGAAUACCUUCGACUACAUAGGUACUAUCUAUAUUACAAGGAUCACCGUGUGGAAUCCCAAAUACCACACAGUCACAGGAUUUAUUUUCGAUUAAUUUCCUUCACUCGCUGGCUAAUUUGCUUCGUCGGGAGCGUGAAUCGAAGUAAUUUAAUUAUAGUAGGAAUUUAGGUAUUAAAA